This is a long non-coding RNA of Haliotis rubra (blacklip abalone), 235 nucleotides long. RefSeq lists it as uncharacterized. Lineage: Eukaryota; Metazoa; Mollusca; Gastropoda; Lepetellida; Haliotidae. The record is from RefSeq and is a predicted model, not a curated record. The transcript has 3 exons.
GCAAGGAACAAUGAUGGGGCAACAGCGGCCGAUUACGCGAGACGCUUUGGACAUCAGCGAGUGGUGGAUCUCCUGGUGUCACGUGGUGGACACUGAAGUCGGUGUCGGUGUGGACAGCGACGGAGCACGUGCCGUUACUGACACUGACGAGGUGUGUGCCGUCCACGUUGUCGUGUGUCACAAUUUACGUGAUUUCCUUUUACUUUGUGAAUAUAAAUAAAACUUGUUGAAAGUA